CAGUUUACACGGAUAACUGUGGUAAUUCUAGAGCUAAUACGUGCAAUCAGCUCGCUUCCUUGUGGAGCGAGCGCAGUUAUUAGAACAAGACCAAUCCGGCCUUCGGGUCGGUACAAUUGGUGACUCUGAAUAACCGAAGCGGAGCGCAUGGUCUCGUACCGGCGCCAGAUCUUUCAAGUGUCUGACUUAUCAGCUUGUUGUUAGGUUAUGUUCCUAACAAGGCUUUUACGGGUAACGGGGUAUCAGGGUCCGAUACCGGAGAGGGAGCCUGAGAAACGGCUACCACAUCCAAGGAAGGCAGCAGGCGCGCAAAUUACCCACUCCCGGCACGGGGAGGUAGUGACGAAAAAUAACGAUGCGAGAGCUACAAAGUUUCUCGUAAUCGGAAUGGGUACACUUUAAAUCCUUUAACGAGGAUCUAUUGGAGGGCAAGUCUGGUGCCAGCAGCCGCGGUAAUUCCAGCUCCAAUAGCGUAUAUUAAAGUUGCUGCGGUUAAAAAGCUCGUAGUUGGAUCUGGGUAGCUGGACGGAUGGUGUGCCGAAAGGUAUUACUGUCUGUUCGGCACCACAAGCCGGUCAUGUCUUGCAUGCUCUUCACUGAGUGUGCUUGGCGGCCGGAACGUUUACUUUGAAAAAAUUAGAGUGCUCAAAGCAGGCGUACGGCCUUGCAUAAUGGUGCAUGGAAUAAUGGAAUAGGACCUCGGUUCUAUUUUGUUGGUUUUCGGAACUCGAGGUAAUGAUUAAUAGGAACAGACGGGGGCAUUCGUAUUGCGGCGUUAGAGGUGAAAUUCUUGGAUCGUCGCAAGACGAACUACUGCGAAAGCAUUUGUCAAGAAUGUCUUCAUUAAUCAAGAACGAAAGUUAGAGGUUCGAAGGCGAUCAGAUACCGCCCUAGUUCUAACCAUAAACGAUGCCAACCAGCGAUCCGUCGGUGUUUUUUUGAUGACUCGACGGGCAGCUUCCGGGAAACCAAAGUGCUUAGGUUCCGGGGGAAGUAUG
Molecule: ribosomal RNA, 998 nt
Filed under: Diaforobiotus islandicus
Lineage: Eukaryota; Metazoa; Tardigrada; Eutardigrada; Parachela; Richtersiusidae
Description: SSU rRNA
Rfam family: Eukaryotic small subunit ribosomal RNA
Source: RNAcentral